UCAUAGCAAGGGCCGGGCAAGACCGGUGCCAGCCGCCGCGGUAACACCGGCGGCUCGAGUGGUAACCGUUAUUAUUGGGUCUAAAGGGUCUGUAGCCGGCCGGAUAAGUCUCUUGAGAAAUCUGGCAGCUUAACUGUCAGGCUUUCAGGAGAUACUGUCUGGCUCGAGGCCGGGAGAGGUGAGAGGUACUUCAGGGGUAGGGGUGAAAUCUUGUAAUCCUUGAAGGACCACCAGUGGCGAAGGCGUCUCACCAGAACGGACCUGACGGCAAGGGACGAAAGCUAGGGGCACGAACCGGAUUAGAUACCCGGGUAGUCCUAGCCGUAAACGAUACUCGCUAGGUGUCGGCCACGGUGCGACCGUUGUCGGUGCCGUAGGGAAGCCGUGAAGCGAGC
RNAcentral lists this ribosomal RNA (395 nucleotides) under uncultured archaeon. RNAcentral's name for it is "bacterial SSU rRNA". It matches the Rfam family "Archaeal small subunit ribosomal RNA", at positions 430 to 824 of the family's 1478-position model. The record is from RNAcentral.